GCUCACUUCAUCAGCACACUGACAUUAGAAUGAUACAGAAAAGAUCACCACAGUCCCUGUGCAAGGAUGACAUGCAAAUUCAUGAAGUGUUCCAUAUUUUA
This is a small nuclear RNA of Mesocricetus auratus (golden hamster), 101 nucleotides long. Lineage: Eukaryota; Metazoa; Chordata; Mammalia; Rodentia; Cricetidae. The record is from Ensembl.